UACGUAGGUGGCAAGCGUUAUCCGGAAUUAUUGGGCGUAAAGCGCGCGUAGGCGGUUUUUUAAGUCUGAUGUGAAAGCCCCCGGCUCAACCGGGGAAGGGCAUUGGAAACUGGAAAACUUGAGUGCAGAAGAGGAUAGUGGAAUUCCAGGUGUAGCGGUGAAAUGCGCAGAUAUAUGGAGGAACACCAGUGGCGAAGGCGACUUUCUGGUCUGAAACUGACGCUGAUGUGCGAAAGCGUGGGGAUCAAACAGG
This 253-nucleotide ribosomal RNA is filed under the name uncultured bacterium. RNAcentral describes it as "partial 16S ribosomal RNA". It matches the Rfam family "Bacterial small subunit ribosomal RNA", at positions 524 to 776 of the family's 1533-position model. The record is from RNAcentral.